GUCCACGCCAUAAACGAUGAGAACUAGACGUUGAGAGGGUAAGCCUCCCAGUGUCGUAGCUAACGCGCUAAGUUCUCCGCCUGGGGAGUACGGCCGCAAGGUUGAAACUCAAAUGAAUUGACGGGGACCCGCACAAGCGGUGGAGCAUGUGGUUUAAUUCGAUGCAACGCGAAGAACCUUACCUGGCCUUGACAUCCAUGGGACCCCGAAGAGAUUUGGGGGUGCCGUAAGGAACCAUGAUACAGGUGCUGCAUGGCUGUCGU
This 263-nucleotide ribosomal RNA is filed under the name uncultured bacterium. RNAcentral describes it as "partial 16S ribosomal RNA". It matches the Rfam family "Bacterial small subunit ribosomal RNA", at positions 793 to 1055 of the family's 1533-position model. The record is from RNAcentral.